CGGGGUGCACCAGGCGCGAAAACUCUACAAUGCAGGCAACUGCGAUAGGGGGACAUCGAGUGGCAUCCACCUUGGGUGCCUGUCCAACCGUCUAAAAAACGGUUGUUAGCAAGGGCCGGGUAAGACCGGUGCCAGCCGCCGCGGUAAUACCGGCGGCUCGAGUGGUGGCCGAUAUUAUUGAGUCUAAAGGGUCCGUAGCCGGCUUUGCAAGUCCCCUGGGAAAUCCAGCGGCUUAACCGUUGGGCUUUCAUGGGAUACUACAUUGCUUGGGACUGGGAGAGGUAGGAGGUACUCGGGGGGUAGGGGUGAAAUCCUGUAAUCCUCCGGGGACCACCGGUGGCGAAGGCGUCCUACCAGAACAGGUCCGGCGGUGAGGGACGAAAGCUAGGGGCACGAACCGGAUUAGAUACCCGGGUAGUCCUAGCCGUAAACGAUGCCCGCUAGGUGUCACGACGGUCGUGAAUCGUCGUGGUGCCGUAGGGAAGCCGCGAAGCGGGCCACUUGGGAAGUACGGCCGCAAGGCUGAAACUUAAAGGAAUUGGCGGGGGAGCACAAGGGCGAUUGCGG
This 567-nucleotide ribosomal RNA is filed under the name uncultured archaeon. RNAcentral's name for it is "bacterial SSU rRNA". It matches the Rfam family "Archaeal small subunit ribosomal RNA", at positions 326 to 893 of the family's 1478-position model. The record is from RNAcentral.